Molecule: transfer RNA, 90 nt
Filed under: Gammaproteobacteria bacterium
Lineage: Bacteria; Pseudomonadati; Pseudomonadota; Gammaproteobacteria
Also listed under: 1 other name
Description: tRNA-Ser
Rfam family: tRNA
About the family: Transfer RNA (tRNA) molecules are approximately 80 nucleotides in length. Their secondary structure includes four short double-helical elements and three loops (D, anti-codon, and T loops).
Source: RNAcentral
GGAGAGAUGGCUGAGCGGUCGAAAGCGGCGGUCUUGAAAACCGUUAAGGGGGCAACUCCUUCCAGGGUUCGAAUCCCUGUCUCUCCGCCA